Ciona intestinalis (vase tunicate) is the source of this 834-nucleotide non-coding RNA. Lineage: Eukaryota; Metazoa; Chordata; Ascidiacea; Phlebobranchia; Cionidae. The record is from RefSeq and is a predicted model, not a curated record.
UGCUGGUUCCCACUUUAACCCUACCGGCGAGCCGGGAUCAUAGAAACAUUAAAUAUUCAAAUCUGCAAGUCAUCAUUAAUUCUGACAAGAUUCUCAACUCGAAAUUCUUAGCGGUCUGCGACAAGGUGUGGUAUGAUUUCUGGUUAAGAAUUUUCUUGUGUAACAGGGUGUGUCGUGCUAAAUGUUAAUGUAUUGUUAUUGGGAAAAGUUAACAGUUUUCACGUGUGACAGGGUGUGUUAUUCUAAAUGUUGAGAAUUUCUUCCUGUGACAGGGUGUGUCGUGCUAAAUGUUAAUGUUUUGUUAUUGGGAAAAGUUAACAGUUUUCACGUGUGACAGGGUGUGUUAUUCUAAAUGUUGAGAAUUUCUUCGUGUGACAGGGUGUGUCGUGCUAAAUGUUAAGAUUUUGUUAUUGGGAAAAGUUAAGAAUUUUCUUGUGUGAAAGGUUGUGUCGUGUUAAAUGUUAAGAUUUCGUUCCAACUUUUUGAUAUAGAAAUUGACUGCAUUUUAGAUGGAAAAUAGAUUUGAUUUUCGAUUUAGUAACAUAGCAUUUUUUAGCAGUUCAAACAACCCCAGCCCAACCCCAACAAACCCUACCCCAACAAACCCUACUCCAACACCAGCAAUCCCAAACCAACACAAAAGAACAAGAAAAUAUAUCGGCAAAAGCCGAUUUGAGUUUUUGCAACGGUAAGUGAUAAUGAUGUUUUUGUUAUAACUUAUAAUAUUUAAAGUUAAACAUUUAAACUGUCUUAACUUUUAUAGUAAAGGAGUUAUUCCGGAAGGAAAAAAGUAAGUAUAAUUUAUAUCUACAGUGUUUAACUAAAUUGCAAUUG